UUUACAAUUCCGACGGGGACGGAUUCCGACGGCCGUGCCAGAGCUUCAAUCCAUGAGAUCGUCAGAGAGCCGAGCGAUAAUCAUCAACCCGACCGGAGAGUUACAGGCACAGUCACCAAAAGCUCUUUCCUUUCCUCCCCGUUCACAGUCAUCUCGCAGAUUCCUUUCGUCUUGCUUCUCCAUCAGAGCGCAUUGAACCCUUUGCAAUUCAUCGUGAAUUUGUCGUCUCGAAGCUGUCAAUUCCUCUCCUUCUGUUCCGUGUCUUUGACUUUCUUCUUCUUUGAUGCGACUGGAAAUGCGGUUUUAGCUGAAACCUUCCCCUCUGUCAAGAGGUUUUGUCUGCUCGAGCAGUUAUACUGUACGCUUUCUGCUUGCAUCCUGCUUGUUCGUCGAACAAAGCUGUGCGGCUGUGACUUGCUGUAUGGUUAGGAAGAAGUGAAUCAAAUUGCAUAACAGUGUUCUCAUUAGCAACACAAGAGGUUGGUGCUUUCUGGGCAAAUGGAUCAUCCGCAGGGACAAGAAGUCUAAAUGCUCGUGUGAUGCAAGAUUAGCUGCAAAGAGAAAAAUGGCUAUCCGGAGUAAUAACAAGAAUGUUGUGUCAUGGAAGAGGAGAGAACUUCCAUUUUUGGUUCUCUAUGCGAUUGCUUUUUACGUGAUCAUCAUUCGUAGAUCUCUGCAACUCUCUCAUGAUCAUUACUCCAAACUCUACGGGUUGCGACCGGGUUUUCUUGCUAAUCGACUCAAUGAUGUCUCAGAUGCACAAUGGAGAAACUUCCGUGGGAACUUGCCCAUUCUUACUUUUGUUUUUGGAAUUUUUGCAUUGACUGCUAAUAUUAUGAGAGCAUGUUUUGGACUGAAAGCGAGGGGAAUGUCGUACAUUUGGCUUUUUCUUUCUUCAGCUUACCUGGUAUACCUGCAUGGAGCUUGCAUUAUAUUUGUCAUGGCAAUUGCUUCCCUGAAUUAUCUUCUCGUCAAGAUAUUUGCCAGGACAAAAUACUUCCUACCACUAUUAUGGAUCUUCAACAUAUUCUUUCUGAUAUGUAAUCGUGUUUAUGAUGGAUAUUCAUUCUCCAUGUUUGGGGCCCAUUGGCAGUACUUGGACAAUUUCCGGGGUACUUUUCGGUGGCAAAUUUGCUUUAACUUUGUUAUUUUGCGCAUGGUGAGCUUUGGCUAUGAUUACCGGUGGUCAAUUCUUGGUUCUCAUUUCAACCACGAGAAACAUGUUGAACAUUGCUACAUUUGUAAAUCAGGAAAAGCAUGCUACCAAUUUCUACAGGGAAAAAGUGUGACGAGUGACAAGUUUUCCCUCAGCAUAUACCUCUGCUAUUUGGUGUAUGCGCCCCUCUAUAUUGCUGGACCGAUUAUUAGCUUUAAUGCAUUUGCUUCACAGCUGGAGGCACCACAGAGAAAUUACUCGGUCAAAGACAUGGCUUUAUAUGGGAUAAGGUGGCUAUAUAGUCUUUUCUUGAUGGAACUGAUGACGCACCUGCUCUACUAUAAUGCUUUUGCCAUCAGUGGCAUAUGGAGACAGUUAUCACCCAUGGACGUAUUCAUCAUCGGGUAUGGGGUCUUAAACUUUAUGUGGUUAAAGUUCUUCCUGAUCUGGCGCUAUUUUCGGCUCUGGUCACUGAUAUGUGGCGUUGAGGCACCUGAGAACAUGCCAAAGUGCAUCAAUAAUUGCUACAACUUGGAAAGUUUUUGGAAAAAUUGGCACGCCUCUUUCAAUAAAUGGCUUGUAAGGUACAUGUACAUUCCCCUAGGAGGUUCUCAAAGAAAGCUGCUCAACGUUUGGGUAGUAUUCACCUUUGUCGCAUUGUGGCAUGACCUAGAGUGGAAGCUUCUUUCAUGGGCAUGGUUGACUUGCUUGUUCUUUGUCCCCGAAUUGAUAUUGAAGUCAGCAGCAAAUGCUUUCAAGAUCGAAAGUGCUCUUGGGGAGUUAUUUUUCCGUGAAGUCAGUGCACUUGCCGGUUCAGUCACAAUCACUUGUCUUAUGGUUGCGAAUCUUGUUGGCUUUGUUAUUGGACCAUCUGGCAUCAAUUGGUUGAUUUCUCGAUUCCUCGGCAGAGAAGGUCGAUUUUUAUUCCAUUGAAAGCUCAGAUCAGUUUCAGAACCAAGUACGAAUUCCCAACGGUAUUCUAAUCUUGCAGGACUCCCUGUCCUCCUUGGCUUGUUUGUGACGUUCUAUGUUGGGACAAAGCUCAUGUUCCAUAUUGAGGAUGCCAAAAGAAGAGCUCACUGACUUCAAACUUUAGACUGCCGCUUUUUCCCGACCAAAUAUCAGAACGUGGGACGAAUUAUAUUAACUUGCAAAGAGAUGAAGCUGCUGCUUCGGGAUCAAUUGACAAGUUCAAGAAUCAAGACACUCUAGGAAGCAGUAGGCUUGAGUAGCUGGUGCUAGUCUGAGAAUUUACUGUUCCGACCAUCGUUAGUCCGUUCAUGUCUGGAUGCUACUGUACUAUUGACUGCUGCAUUGUAUAAACUUGCCGGAAUAAAAUUCUAAUCGACUCUUUUCCCUCUCCA
Non-coding RNA from Punica granatum (pomegranate), 2520 nucleotides. The record is from RefSeq and is a predicted model, not a curated record. NCBI's taxonomy places the organism in Eukaryota, Viridiplantae, Streptophyta, Magnoliopsida, Myrtales, Lythraceae.